UGGCCAGUCUUUUCUGAUGAUCUUCUUGGCUUUCCUGCGACACCUGGUGGUGGUGUUCUGUAGGACAGGCAGUGUGCAUAAAUGGCGCGCUAGGCUGCACGUAUAGCCUUCAGGAAUUUAUUCAGCACUCUGAGGUUGACGAGUCGCUGCGGUGGCUUCACUACGGUGUCCGUGUGGUUAGACCAUUUCAGUUUUUCUGAGAUGUGUACGCCGAGGAAUUUGAAGUUAUUGACUGUCGUGUCCAGCUGGGAUCCUCCUGAAUUCCACAAUCAGCUCCUUUGUUUUGCUAAACGUUGAGGGAGAGGUUGAGGUUGUUCUUGAUAACUCAAGUAGAUAUUUUCUACUUUUUAUUUGAAUGAAAAACACAUCAUGAUAUAUGAGUUGUGGUUUUGUAGGUGAUCAGAGAUGAGGGAACUGGGUCCAGCAUGGAUAAAUGGAGAGAGAUUAAGACGUUUCUGACGGAUGUCCUGUCAGCGGACCCCAGUCACAUCCUUCAGCAUGUAGACCGAGCAGAAACUGGUGACUUUACACGAAUACAGGAAGCUGCAAAUCUUCAGUAAAUCAGCCCCGGAAGAUUCAUCCGUUUGCUGGAUACACACACCAGUAAGGAUGGUGAGACCUGCAGUAAAUUCCUGGCCCUGCUACAGCAGCCAGACAUCAGAACACCUUUCCCCAGACUGAAGAAAAGCAAACGUUUGAGGUGUAAUGCACUCAUUUUAAAUCACGUUGCAGGUCUGUUUUUUUUUAAGUUUUGUGAUUCAACUUCUGUUUUUGUAUGUAUGUUGAUUGUUGUCUAUGCUGCACAAAUCAUUUCUUAAUUGGAGCAUAAUACAGUUUUCUAAUCUAACGACAACUGCGACAUAGCUCCGGCACCCAGCGACCCCAUACGCUGUCCCAACCUCUUCCUCCACAGUCCACACCCCAGGUCCAACCACAGAGUUGAAGACGGGGGACCAGGGACAAUCUUUUCAAGCAGUUCCACAGCAAGUGGACAUUCUCAUUUUUUUAACCAGAGCAACGAAGGCGUUUUUCAGGAGCCGAGAAGAAGGUCUUCAGUUAAGCUGAAGGGAAUCUCAUUUGAGAAACUUGGCAUAAACAAGUGCAAAGAUGGCAUAAAGUUCAGAAACAAAUCCAAAUGGACUUUCAUGAAAGGCAAAAAGACUACAGAAGGUAGCAAAUAUAAGAAAUAUUUUUAAUUAAAGAUGUUAGACCUAUGUCAGAACACGCUCUCUCACUGACAGUGUUGUGGAGUUCAAUGUCCUGACCAAAGGGAAUUAAUGAAUUACCUAGCCUACAUUAUGGGAAAAAAGUGUUUUAUUUGAAGUAGCCAUGAGAGCUGCACCGUGAAAGCAAUCACCAUAUCGAACCACUUACAGUAGGCCUACUGCAGCUCACAGGAAAUUGAGUAGCUAUAGAUUGACUGUGUAUUAGCCUACAGUUUG
Oncorhynchus keta (chum salmon) is the source of this 1442-nucleotide long non-coding RNA. RefSeq lists it as uncharacterized. The transcript is spliced from 4 exons. Lineage: Eukaryota; Metazoa; Chordata; Actinopteri; Salmoniformes; Salmonidae. The record is from RefSeq and is a predicted model, not a curated record.